Molecule: ribosomal RNA, 406 nt
Filed under: uncultured bacterium
Lineage: Bacteria
Description: partial 16S ribosomal RNA
Rfam family: Bacterial small subunit ribosomal RNA
Source: RNAcentral
AUUGAACGCUGGCGGCAGGCCUAACACAUGCAAGUCGAACGAGUGGCGGACGGGUGAGUAAUGUCUGGGAAACUGCCCGAUGGAGGGGGAUAACUACUGGAAACGGUAGCUAAUACCGCAUACCAUCGGAUGUGCCCAGAUGGGAUUAGCUAGUAGGUGGGGUAACGGCUCACCUAGGCGACGUUCCCUAGCUGGUCUGAGAGGAUGACCAGCCACACUGGAACUGAGACACGGUCCGUAGUCCUACGGGAGGCAGCAGUGGGGAAUAUUGCACAAUGGGCGCAAGCCUGAUGCAGCCAUGCCGAGUGAAUGAAGAAGGCCUUCGGGUUGGAAAGUACUUUCAGCGAGGAGGCGUUACUCGCAGAAGAAGCACCGGCUAACUCCGUGACAGCAGCCGCGGUAAUAC